CUUUUUUUUCGCACGAGAAUUUUUUGAGUUUUCGUGGAGCUUCUCUAAAACAAAUUUUCCCAUUUUUCCCGUUUGCCCUGAAUUUGAGAUUUUCGCCUAGUAUCACUUCCCAUUUUCACUCAAGUUUCACUUCCAAUUUGUGCCCUAAUUUCACCUCCGAUUUUCGCCAAGUUUCACGCGACGCGUUCGUCCCAAACCUGUGGUGGAGCGAGACGGUGUUGCGUUGGUGGAGCAAGUCGCUCGCGGUGGCCAGUUGUGAACUUUUUUCCCACAUACGUUGUGUUCAAAGUUGAUGUGUUCAAAGUUGAGGGUUAUACAAAUCUAUCGAGCUUAAAUAAGAAACAUGGUUUCAAAGUCUAAGUCAAACAAUAUCAAGUGGACAACAAUUAAGUUUCUAGUUGCAGAUGUCAACAAUAUCAUGAAAGUCAAAUAAUUGAAGUUAGAGAAAAUUGGUGUUUACAUGUAAUUAGUACUUGCUUAUAGGUUAUGUUAGGCUGAUGUACAUGCUUAUAAGUACUGAUAGGAUAUAUAUGUUAUGGUUGUAUAUAUUGUCUUAUAAAGCAAUGUUAUGUCAUGACACGUAUGACUUAACGAUUAAAUUUUAAAAUAUUAGUGUAUCAAUAAAUUUUAUUUAUAUUAAUAAACAUUCUU
Molecule: long non-coding RNA, 651 nt
Organism: Vigna radiata var. radiata (mung bean)
Lineage: Eukaryota; Viridiplantae; Streptophyta; Magnoliopsida; Fabales; Fabaceae
Exons: 4
Source: RefSeq, a predicted model, not a curated record